AUGCACGCUGGCGGCGUGCCUAAUACAUUCAAGUCGAGCGAACAGACGAGGAGCUUGCUCCUCUGACGUUAGCGGCGGACGGGUGAGUAACACGUGGAUAACCUACCUAUAAGACUGGGAUAACUUCGGGAAACCGGAGCUAAUACCGGAUAAUAUAUUGAACCGCAUGGUUCAAUAGUGAAAGACGGUUUUGCUGUCACUUAUAGAUGGAUCCGCGCCGCAUUAGCUAGUUGGUAAGGUAACGGCUUACCAAGGCGACGAUGCGUAGCCGACCUGAGAGGGUGAUCGGCCACACUGGAACUGAGACACGGUCCAGACUCCUACGGGAGGCAGCAGUAGGGAAUCUUCCGCAAUGGGCGAAAGCCUGACGGAGCAACGCCGCGUGAGUGAUGAAGGUCUUCGGAUCGUAAAACUCUGUUAUUAGGGAAGAACAAAUGUGUAAGUAACUAUGCACGUCUUGACGGUACCUAAUCAGAAAGCCACGGCUAACUACGUG
Molecule: ribosomal RNA, 496 nt
Filed under: uncultured bacterium
Lineage: Bacteria
Description: partial 16S ribosomal RNA
Rfam family: Bacterial small subunit ribosomal RNA
Source: RNAcentral